Molecule: long non-coding RNA, 385 nt
Filed under: Salvia miltiorrhiza (redroot sage)
Lineage: Eukaryota; Viridiplantae; Streptophyta; Magnoliopsida; Lamiales; Lamiaceae
Description: long non-coding RNA (SMIL_LNC000909)
Source: RNAcentral
GAUCAUUCUUAGCUACGGGGAGGGCUAUGAUAGAUGUGCCCAAUGGAAGUGUUAUCUUUCACGCAGCUGAUGCGCAUGAGUCCUCUGUCUCUGUUCGUGUUAGGCGGUCUGUCACGCCCGCUGCGUUUGAUGUUCAUUGAGACCAUGAGGUAUCGUCGAGCUCUAGACGUUAAAUUAAGCACUUGUUGGGAGGUAACCCAACCGUUUUCUUUGUUUUGUUUUCUUUCUUUUAGUUUCUUUUUGUUUCUUUGUUUUCUUUGUUUUGUUUGGUGUUUUAGUGCAGUGUUGAGCUUGGAAGAUGCGGGAACUCGCGCCUUGUCCAUACUACCACCAUGGAGCAUGUUUUUCUGUGAGUAGUGACACACAUAUCAUCAUCCCUCCAAAC